GUGGGGAAUAUUGGACAAUGGGCGAAAGCCUGAUCCAGCCAUGCCGCGUGUGUGAAGAAGGUCUUCGGAUUGUAAAGCACUUUAAGUUGGGAGGAAGGGCAUUAACCUAAUACGUUAGUGUUUUGACGUUACCAACAGAAUAAGCACCGGCUAACUUCGUGCCAGCAGCCGCGGUAAUACGAAGGGUGCAAGCGUUAAUCGGAAUUACUGGGCGUAAAGCGCGCGUAGGUGGUUCAGCAAGUUGAAGGUGAAAUCCCCGGGCUCAACCUGGGAACUGCCUCCAAAACUACUGAGCUAGAGUACGGUAGAGGGUAGUGGAAUUUCCUGUGUAGCGGUGAAAUGCGUAGAUAUAGGAAGGAACACCAGUGGCGAAGGCGACUACCUGGACUGAUACUGACACUGAGGUGCGAAAGCGUGGGGAGCAAACAGGAUUAGAAACCCUAGUAGUCC
This 450-nucleotide ribosomal RNA is filed under the name uncultured bacterium. RNAcentral describes it as "bacterial SSU rRNA". It matches the Rfam family "Bacterial small subunit ribosomal RNA", at positions 354 to 796 of the family's 1533-position model. The record is from RNAcentral.